UACGGAGGGGGCUAGCGUUGCUCGGAAUGACUGGGCGUAAAGGGCGCGUAGGCGGAUGGCACAGUCAGAUGUGAAAUUCCCGGGCUUAACCUGGGGGCUGCAUUUGAUACGUGUUGUCUAGAGUGAGGAAGAGGGUUGUGGAAUUCCCAGUGUAGAGGUGAAAUUCGUAGAUAUUGGGAAGAACACCGGUGGCGAAGGCGGCAACCUGGUCCUUGACUGACGCUGAGGCGCGAAAGCGUGGGGAGCAAACAGG
RNAcentral lists this ribosomal RNA (253 nucleotides) under uncultured bacterium. Its description in RNAcentral is "partial 16S ribosomal RNA". It matches the Rfam family "Bacterial small subunit ribosomal RNA", at positions 524 to 776 of the family's 1533-position model. The record is from RNAcentral.